UACGUAGGGGGCAAGCGUUGUCCGGAUUUAUUGGGCGUAAAGAGCGUGUAGGCGGUUUGGUAGGUCCGUUGUGAAAACUCGAGGCUCAACCUCGAGACGCCGAUGGAAACCAUCAGACUAGAGUCCGGAAGAGGAGAGUGGAAUUCCUGGUGUAGCGGUGAAAUGCGUAGAUAUCAGGAGGAACACCGGUGGCGAAGGCGGGUCUCUGGGCCGAUACUGACGCUGAGGAGCGAAAGCAUGGGUAGCGAACAGG
RNAcentral lists this ribosomal RNA (253 nucleotides) under uncultured bacterium. RNAcentral describes it as "partial 16S ribosomal RNA". It matches the Rfam family "Bacterial small subunit ribosomal RNA", at positions 524 to 776 of the family's 1533-position model. The record is from RNAcentral.